Tachysurus fulvidraco (yellow catfish) is the source of this 1532-nucleotide long non-coding RNA. RefSeq lists it as uncharacterized. The record is from RefSeq and is a predicted model, not a curated record. The transcript is spliced from 4 exons. NCBI's taxonomy places the organism in Eukaryota, Metazoa, Chordata, Actinopteri, Siluriformes, Bagridae.
CUGUAGCACAUUCAAUAAUACUAAACUACAUCAGACUAAUACUAUACUACACUGGAAAACUCACAAGAACGUUUAAGGUUGAGCCAGAGACAACAGAGGGCAGGGAAAUGAUUCUGCCCAAAAACACUACUGAUCCAGACGAACCUCCUGGACUGAUGGACAGCGUUACAGGCCGUCAUGUACCGCUGAUAUCCCUCCAGGACUCUGAUCCAAAAGCAUCCUCAUCUCUCCUGCACCCUUAUCCCUGCCCUCCAUCUGGGGGAAAAGAAAGACACCCAAUGGUUCACCAACCAGAAGAAAAUACAGAGAAAAGGAGGACAGGGAUGGGAGAGCUCAAGCGGAAAUAAGGAUGUGAUCGGAUCAGAGUCCGGCAGGGAUGCUGGUGCUACAUGGUCCAUCAAUUAGCCAGUUACCUGACCAGAGGAGAACAUAUAUCUUCAAAUGACCAAGAGAAGAAAAUGUUCAAAGUUAUGUUAACACCUUUUACGAUUAUAACAUGUAUGCUAAUUGUUUUAAACUCUUUUCAAUCCAUAAUAGUGAUAAAUAGUAAAGUAAAUUAUAACAAUAUUAACAGUUUUUGGUAUUUUGAUAGAAAAAUUAAUAUGACUAUAGAAUGUGAAAUGCUAAAUGUUUUAAACUUUUUUAAACCCAUAAUCUUUAGUGAUCUAAAUUAUAAAAAUAUUUACAGUUUUAAUGAAAAAGAAACAGAAUUUAUAGCAAGGUAUUUUGAUAGAAAAGUACAUUCUGAUGAUACAAAUUUAAAUAAACAAAUUGCAUAUGCAUAUUUAACAAAGAAAGAUGGUUCUGAACCAAUUAAAAUUGGACCUUUUGACCCUGAUGGGAAGCAUAGUGAAGAUUUUAUUAUUGAAGAAAUUAAUAAGAUAAAAAAAAAUGAGAUGAAAAAUUAUUCAGCAAUUUGGAUUUACACAGUAAAUAGUCCUUGUAUAGCAAGAAAAGAUUAUAAUCCCUGUAUGGACAAUUUAAGUAGGUUAUCAUGCAAAUAAAGUAAGGACUAUGGAAUUAAAAUGUACAUUGUCUUCAGUAAAAAUUAUGUUUUUAUCAAAGACAUUUCUAGUAUUAUUGGAAAAAGUGAACAACUGAAAAAACUUUGGAUGAAAAUUAUUCAAUAUUAUAAUUCAGAAGAAGUGAAGUUUUCUGUUAGAAAUAAAAAAAAUAACAACAAAAAAAUCCCCAAAGAAACAAGAAACAUUUUAUCUCAAAUUUUUGCUGAGUUGUCAAAAAUGGGAGAAAAGACUUUAGAAGAGUGGACUCAGAUAGUCCUGAGAAAAGUUGAGGAGAGCACUGUUAAUCCUGAUUUAAUUGACACUGUUAUAGAGGUGUUGACUUUAGAAUUAGGUGAUAAAAUCUCUAUUAAUGAAAUUAUUAAUGGACAGGUUGUUAAUUUCUACUUAAACCAGCUGCAGGGUAUUAAGCACUACCCUGUGUUUGUCCCAUUAGCUUAUAUUAGCACUAAUACUACUACUACUACUACUACUACUACUACUACUACUACUACUACUACUACUGCUGCU